GGGAGGUGUUAUCAUACAAACAACGCUUGUCUCACUGCUGUAACAAUGAGCACAAGGUGCAAUGCUGGGACAGAUGGAUAGUGAGAAAUCAGGAGGGAAAAGCAGAGAUCAUAAGCUGGAAUUGAGAAAAGGCUAGACAAAAAGCAAAGAUAUAUACAAAAUAAGGAGGUCCCAUGGCUAUUUACUUAGGAUUCCAGCCUAUGCCCAGACCCCAGAAACCAGGAAACGUAUUGAGGUGCCUCCAGCCACCAAUCCAGACAGAAACAGAUCUUCCAUAGCUUCUACAUCAUAUCUUUCUGUCCCAGAAAGAUCUUAAGGUAGUGAAGAUCACUGUGUCUUUUUAUUGGUCAUGAAAUACAAACUGUGGUGGAGGGCAGGAGUGGAUUUUUUGGUUUGGAUUUUCACAGGGAGUGAGCAUUGUGAAGGAAGGUGAAAUAGCAUCAUUCAGAUGCUGUUCAAGAACACCACUUAAGAAAGGCAGGAACAAAUGAGGCACAUGUGUCCUCAGACAAGUUUUGCAUACUGGGUAAGGGAUUUCAAUACUGCCUUUGUGGCUGUCCUCACAAGCCCAUGGAAAAGUGAGAAAGCCUGAAAAAUGGGAAAUUAACAGCCAGCCACCUCUCACCUAGUCCCAGCCUUUAUCUUAGCCCCAUUUCAUGAUAGCAGAAAGAAUAAAAAUACCCUCAAGCCAGAAGAGAACCGUUCCUCACUUUCUACCAUGAGCCAUGUAGGGACAAACAAUGGGCAUAAAGUUGAGAACUGCACAGAUUGAUAGAAGAACGAAGGAUAAAUAAACCCCUUUUCUCCUUUCAAUUCAUUACACUGUUGUUCCCUUUGUGGAAAGGGAGUUAACUGGCACCAAGCUGUUUAUCUUCUUCAAACACAGAUGAACUAUAACCAGUGUCAUUCAUCACUCAGUCCAGGGGUGCUGCACCAGUGAAAAGAUUGGCCUAGUAAGGAUUGGCCUAGUAAGGGCUGUCCAGUCUAGUUUCUUAUAAGGCAAGACAUUUAAAUGCUACUGCUUAAAAAUGCUUGAUUUGCUGAGGUUUGCAACAACAGUCCAUCAUGAACAACAUCUACUCAGAAACCCCAGAAAGCAAGGCUGUCUUUUACCAAUAGCUGACCUUAUGAAGCAAGAUUCCUAACAUGAGUCCUUUGAGCCAAAACCUCACAGACAAAGGGCUUUCCUGAUGAUCUUCAAUCUACAUUUGGAGUUGCCAGUCUAUGCCUUGCAAACUUCCACAUUUUCUUCACAAAUCAUGCAAAACUCUUAAGGUUUAAUGGUCUCUCACACUGUCUUUCCUCAGGUGAUUCUACCCUUCAGGAAGAUUUAUGCAUACCUGUCAAAAGCUGCUAGAUUUCUAUCUCUCUUUCUUUCUACCUCUCUCUCUUCUCUUUCUACCCCUGAAGUUUCAGAGCUGGUUGUCACUCUUUAACAGUUUAUUUUCCAUAAAUACACAGUGAGCAUCUCACCCUUUCCUCAACACUGGAGCACAUUCUGCUUUCAUAUGCAAAUCCUCUCAGUCAACAAUGUAGCAGGAAUAUGUUUAAACAAGAAUAGAGAUAGCUAAUCAAUGUACUUCCCUAAGAUUACUUAUUCCUGGGUUGCUGAGUCUGCCUUUGCUUGGUCCUUGCUCGUGUACAACUCCUGCGAAUGUCUAGGGAAGUUUAGUUUGUGAAACAACUGAGAGAGAUGUGAGUGAGAGUAUUAACAUAGGAUUUUAUAUUAGUCUAUUAUUAUAUCAGAGAUAACACUGGAGUGGACUCCUGAGGAUAUAAAUACACUGCAGGCUUCUUACUGACAUCCUUCUAUUACCAUUGUGUAUUUUUCCCAAAUCAGGUGCAUUUUAUGACUUGGUCUGUAAAUCUGGGCAGCCCCACAGCAUUAUAUAGUGUCAUGGGUUAGCAAGCGUAGUCCCGGAAGUGAUGGUCUUGCAAAGGGGCGCUUACAGCUCCUCUAUGA
Corvus hawaiiensis (hawaiian crow) is the source of this 1963-nucleotide long non-coding RNA. RefSeq lists it as uncharacterized. Lineage: Eukaryota; Metazoa; Chordata; Aves; Passeriformes; Corvidae. The transcript has 3 exons. The record is from RefSeq and is a predicted model, not a curated record.